RNAcentral lists this ribosomal RNA (414 nucleotides) under uncultured fungus. RNAcentral describes it as "partial small subunit ribosomal RNA". It matches the Rfam family "Eukaryotic small subunit ribosomal RNA", at positions 30 to 432 of the family's 1831-position model. Lineage: Eukaryota; Fungi. The record is from RNAcentral.
GCUUGUCUCAAAGAUUAAGCCAUGCAUGUCUAAGUAUAAGCACUCUUAUACUGCGAAACUGCGGAUGGCUCAUUAAAACAGUUAUAAUUUAUUUGAUGAGGUACCUGUUACUACAUGGAUAACCGUGGUAAUUCUAGAGCUAAUACAUGCAUUAAAGGGCUCGGCGUUGUGUCGGGUCUGUAUUUAUUGGAUACAAAAACCAAUGCAUCCUCUGGGUGCUUUUGUUGGUGAGUCACAGUAACUAAUCGAAUCGCACGGCUUGAUGCUGGCGAUAGGUCAUUCAAAUUUCUGCCCUAUCAGCUUUCGAUGGUAGUGUAGUGGACUACCAUGGCGUUAACGGGUGACGGGGAAUUAGGGUUCGAUUCCGGAGAGGGAGCCUGAGAAACGGCUACCACAUCUAAGGAAGGCAGCAGG